RNAcentral lists this ribosomal RNA (494 nucleotides) under uncultured bacterium. RNAcentral's name for it is "partial 16S ribosomal RNA". It matches the Rfam family "Bacterial small subunit ribosomal RNA", at positions 28 to 507 of the family's 1533-position model. The record is from RNAcentral.
GACGAACGCUGGCGGCGCGCUUAACACAUGCAAGUCGAACGGAAAGGCCUGCUUUCCCUUGUGGAUUGCGGGUACUCGAGUGGCGAACGGGUGAGUAACACGUGAGUGAUCUGCCCCCAACUUGGGUAUAAGCCUGGGAAACUGGGUCUAAUUCCCGAUAGGACUGCAGGGUGGUGCCUGUGGUGGAAAACGAUGUUCUAGUGGUUGGGGAUGAGCUCGCGGCCUAUCAGCUUGUUGGUGGGGUAAUGGCCUACCAAGGCGGCGACGGGUAGCCGGCCUGGGAGGGUGGACGGCCACAUUGGGACUGAGAUACGGCCCAGACUCCUACGGGAGGCAGCAGUGGGGAAUAUUGCACAAUGGGCGGAAGCCUGAUGCAGCGACGCCGCGUGGGGGAUGACGGCCUUCGGGUUGUAAACUCCUUUCGACCGCGAGGAAGCCACCUGGUUGGAAGGGUGGUGACGGUAGUGGUAGAAGAAGCACCGGCUAACUACGUG